RNAcentral lists this ribosomal RNA (497 nucleotides) under uncultured bacterium. RNAcentral's name for it is "partial 16S ribosomal RNA". It matches the Rfam family "Bacterial small subunit ribosomal RNA", at positions 28 to 507 of the family's 1533-position model. The record is from RNAcentral.
GAUGAACGCUGGCGGCGUGCCUAAUACAUGCAAGUCGAGCGAACGGACGAGAAGCUUGCUUCUCUGAUGUUAGCGGCGGACGGGUGAGUAACACGUGGAUAACCUACCUAUAAGACUGGGAUAACUUCGGGAAACCGGAGCUAAUACCGGAUAAUAUUUUGAACCGCAUGGUUCAAAAGUGAAAGACGGUCUUGCUGUCACUUAUAGAUGGAUCCGCGCUGCAUUAGCUAGUUGGUAAGGUAACGGCUUACCAAGGCAACGAUGCAUAGCCGACCUGAGAGGGUGAUCGGCCACACUGGAACUGAGAAACGGUCCAGACUACUACGGGAGGCGGCAGUAGGGAAUCUUCCGCAAUGGGCGAAAGCCUGACGGAGCAACGCCGCGUGAGUGAUGAAGGUCUUCGGAUCGUAAAACUCUGUUAUUAGGGAAGAACAUAUGUGUAAGUAACUGUGCACAUCUUGACGGUACCUAAUCAGAAAGCCACGGCUAACUACGUG